Molecule: non-coding RNA, 69 nt
Organism: Tetracentron sinense
Lineage: Eukaryota; Viridiplantae; Streptophyta; Magnoliopsida; Trochodendrales; Trochodendraceae
Source: the annotation of a GenBank genome assembly
GACUUAGGUUUUGGCUCGAAUACUGGUCUGCGAAACCAGAGAUUCUGGGUUCGAUCCCCACCAGAGUCG